AGCUUUCGGAGCUCGGCGUACCGCUCAGUAACACGUGGGUAACCUAACCUAUGCAGGGGAAUAACCUCGGGAAACUGAGUAUAAUGCCCCAUAGUCCACUACGCCUGGAACGGUGAGUGGAUCAAAGCUCAGGCGGCAUAGGAUGGGCCUGCGGCGUAUCAGGUUGUAGGGGGUGUAAAGUACCCUCUAGCCAUCUACGCGUACGGGUGUUGGGAGACAUAGCCCGGAGAUGGAUUCUGAGACACGAAUCCAGACCCUACGGGGUGCAGCAGGCGCGAAAACUUGACAAUGCGAGCAAUCGUGAUCAGGGAACUCCAAGUGGCUGGGGUAAGACCCAGUCUUUUCAUAACUCUUCAAAGGUUGUAGAAUAAGGGGUGGGUAAGGACGGUGCCAGCCGCCGCGGUAAUACCGGCGCCUCAAGUGGUAGUCGCUUUUAUUGGGCCUAAAACGUCCGUAGCAGGUUUGGUACAUUCGUGGGUAAAUCAACUCGCUCAACGAGUUGAAUUCUGCGAGGACGGCCAGACUUGGGACCGGGAGAGGUGUGGGGUACUCUCAGGGUAGGGGUAAAAUCCUGUCAUCCUGAGAGGACCACCUGUUGCGAAGGCGCCACACUAGAACGGAUCCGACGGUCAGGGACGAAGCCUAGGGGCACGAACCGGAUUAGAUACCCGGGUAGUCCUAGGUGUAAACGCUGUGGACUUGAUGUUGGAGAAGCUCCGAGCUUCUUCAGUGUCGAAGCGAAGGUG
Molecule: ribosomal RNA, 746 nt
Filed under: uncultured archaeon
Lineage: Archaea
Description: bacterial SSU rRNA
Rfam family: Archaeal small subunit ribosomal RNA
Source: RNAcentral